UCCUAUCGUACGGGACGCAGCAGUAAGGAAUAUUGGUCAAUGGACGAAAGUCUGAACCAGCCAUGCCGCGUGAAGGAUUAAGGUCCUCUGGAUUGUAAACUUCUUUUAUCUGGGACGAAAAAAGGCGAUUCUUCGUCACUUGACGGUACCAGAUGAAUAAGCACCGGCUAACUCCGUGCCAGCAGCCGCGGUAAUACGGAGGGUGCAAGCGUUAUCCGGAUUCACUGGGUUUAAAGGGUGCGUAGGCGGACAGUUAAGUCAGUGGUGAAAUCCUAGAGCUUAACUCUAGAACUGCCAUUGAUACUAUCUGUCUUGAAUAUUGUGGAGGUAAGCGGAAUAUGUCAUGUAGCGGUGAAAUGCUUAGAUAUGACAUAGAACACCUAUUGCGAAGGCAGCUCACUACGCAUAUAUGACGCUGAGCACGAAAAGACC
This 432-nucleotide ribosomal RNA is filed under the name uncultured bacterium. RNAcentral's name for it is "bacterial SSU rRNA". It matches the Rfam family "Bacterial small subunit ribosomal RNA", at positions 332 to 763 of the family's 1533-position model. The record is from RNAcentral.